AUUGAACGCUGGCGGCAUGCUCUACACAUGCAAGUCGAACGGUAACAGGCCGCAAGGUGCUGACGAGUGGCGAACGGGUGAGUAAUGCAUCGGAACGUGCCCAGUCGUGGGGGAUAACUACUCGAAAGAGUAGCUAAUACCGCAUACGAUCUAUGGAUGAAAGCGGGGGACCGCAAGGCCUCGCGCGAUUGGAGCGGCCGAUGUCAGAUUAGGUAGUUGGUGGGGUAAAGGCUCACCAAGCCAACGAUCUGUAGCUGGUCUGAGAGGACGACCAGCCACACUGGGACUGAGACACGGCCCAGACUCCUACGGGAGGCAGCAGUGGGGAAUUUUGGACAAUGGGCGCAAGCCUGAUCCAGCAAUGCCGCGUGCAGGAAGAAGGCCUUCGGGUUGUAAACUGCUUUUGUACGGAACGAAACGGCUCUGGUUAAUACCCGGGGCUAAUGACGGUACCGUAAGAAUAAGCACCGGCUAACUACGUG
RNAcentral lists this ribosomal RNA (482 nucleotides) under uncultured bacterium. RNAcentral describes it as "partial 16S ribosomal RNA". It matches the Rfam family "Bacterial small subunit ribosomal RNA", at positions 30 to 507 of the family's 1533-position model. The record is from RNAcentral.